UACAAAGGUUAGGGGUGCUUUUGCAAAGUGCAAAGGCUGAGAUCACACCCUACUACCUGAUCCGGGUAAUACCGGCGGAGGAAAACCUGUUCGCUUAUCU
Molecule: non-coding RNA, 100 nt
Filed under: Balneola sp. EhC07
Lineage: Bacteria; Pseudomonadati; Balneolota; Balneolia; Balneolales; Balneolaceae
Also listed under: 1 other name
Description: TPP riboswitch aptamer (THI element)
Rfam family: TPP riboswitch aptamer (THI element)
About the family: Vitamin B(1) in its active form thiamin pyrophosphate (TPP) is an essential coenzyme that is synthesised by coupling of pyrimidine and thiazole moieties in bacteria. The previously detected thiamin-regulatory element, thi box was extended, resulting in a new, highly conserved RNA secondary structure, the THI element, which is widely distributed in eubacteria and also occurs in some archaea.
Source: Rfam by way of RNAcentral